UUCGCAAUAUCAUUGAUCACAACAAAGACUAGUCGAUCAUUCUUCAACUUUCUAUCUCUCAACCUUCAACCAUGGAAUUUUUUAAAACGUUCUGUCUUCGAAGAUCAUUGGGAAUGAUGAUGGAAAAUGUUGAACUAUUAUCUGAUUGAGAAGCGUGCUGAUGGCAUAGAACACGCCUACAUUGAUGCCAUAACUGAACAAUAGUAACAAGUAACCGACGUUUGUGACCAGUUUCUUCAUUUCUAUGAAAAAACUUUUCGGAGUUUCGUUCUCUCUCUGAACUUGAGCUUGUGCUUGAUUCGGAGGAAGCGGUGGUUUAGACUUAAAAACUACAAGAAAAUAUUAUUUCAAUAUGGAGGACUGAAAAUUGUAAUGGUCCCAUCAUGAGCUAUCCCGACAAGAGUUCCGCUCUCGAAAGCUUGUGCUCGAGGAGCGGCAAACUUGGCAGUCACGUCAUAAACAGCAAGAUGUGAAGAACGAUUGAUGUACGCAUUCUAAGAAUAGAAUUCUUUUGAUCGAACAGAUAUGAUUUCUUUGAAAUGAAAUAUUCAAGAUUCUCGAACUAUACAUCUGCAUACUUGAGAUAAGAAGAAAAAAGAUUCCCGGACUAUCUGUAUACUCGAGACCAGAAAAAAUCUAUAUCAAAGUUGAUAAAAUAAUCUGAUCGGCGCUGCACCUUGAAUAGAUUAUCUUCCUACCAGAAGGGGUGAUCUGUUUGAAAUACAUAGGUUUAAUUCGCUGAAUGGGGUCCCAGAUCCCCCCUCGUACCGCCACGAAAUAAAACGUGGGUGCACGUUACGAUUCUGUUUCCCAUCUAAUCACUACUUAAUUCUCCAACGACCCUGUCUCUCGAAUUAGAGUUUUACUACACAGAUACGUUCGGCUCUAUCCAGUUGAAAAUUUGGCGUGCGCGAUUCUAUUGCUAUUGUUUCGAGUAAAGUGAUCGUAAUUAAUGUCUUUGAGACAAUAAUUGAGACAAUGAUCUGGUAUUAUAAC
RNAcentral lists this long non-coding RNA (996 nucleotides) under Apis florea (little honeybee). RNAcentral describes it as "uncharacterized LOC116414861, transcript variant X2". Lineage: Eukaryota; Metazoa; Arthropoda; Insecta; Hymenoptera; Apidae. The record is from RNAcentral.